RNA transcript from Styela clava, 1568 nucleotides. It is a transcript of the gene named enoyl-CoA hydratase domain-containing protein 3, mitochondrial-like, with no coding region annotated. The record is from RefSeq and is a predicted model, not a curated record. Lineage: Eukaryota; Metazoa; Chordata; Ascidiacea; Stolidobranchia; Styelidae.
UUGAUUCCAUCUUUAACAGCCUGAUAUUUUUCAUGUAAUCUAUUAUUUAUAUAAGUUUUUGUCAAUUAACGGCAAUGUUGAUUUCAACACGUUGCAGUGUUGUGUUGAGAAGGGGAUUCGCAUUUGUUAAACGUAGCACACGUUUUUUGUCGAGUAUAGAUGGUGGACAAGAUAUAACAUUCAUUGAUGAAGACGAAAGCUUAAUAUUUAACGAUGGUACUGAUUUUGCUCCUGUUACAUACUCUGAAUCCAGACAUCAAUCUUUAAUAAUACGACCACCUGAUCAGCCCUUGAAUCCAAAAAUUUUGAAAGUUUCUGUUUUGGGAAUGCCAAAUGCAGGGAAGUCGACUUUCAUUAAUGCAAUACUGGGGAAGAAAAUUAUGGCAACCUCGUGCAAAAUUGACACCACUAUGGAAAAUAUUUCAGCAGUGCGUACAAUGGGUGACACACAAAUUUUGUUUCAAGAUACACCAGGUAUAAUGAACAAUCGAAAAGCUGGUCGUCAUAGACUUGCAAGGGAGUCUGUUUCUCUGCCCAAUGACUCAUUCUUUGAUUCUGAUAUUGGUAUCAUUUUGGCUGAUUUAACUUCCUUGAGAAUUAAAGAUGGUUUUUUACAGCCCGAGAUUCUCAUGACUAUGAUUAAAAACAGACAUGUACCAACUGUACUCGUUUUAAAUAAGGUUGAUAAAUACAAAAAGAAGGAUCAUUUGUUACCUUUGAUUUAUACCUUAACCGCGGGGCGUAUAGCUGGUGAGUCUUUUGAGCCAGAGAGGCUAAAACUUACUCCUAUGAGGACUCCAAAAAUCAAAAAAACUGCGCUUACGGAAUAUGAAAAUUUGGACUUAGCUGAUGAAACUGCCUUGAAAAAAUGGAUGGGAGGAAGUGAACAUAGACUGUUGAACAAAUUGAGAUUUUGUAGGGGAUGGCCCCAUUUCGAAGAAGUAUUUGUCAUCUCUGCUAAGGAAGGCUUAGGUCUUGAUCCUAUUAAGAACUAUAUGUUGACCCAUGCAAAACCUGGUUCGUGGAAAUAUCACAGUGAGGUAAAGACUGAUGCCAGCCCUAAGCAGAUCAUUAUGGACUCUAUUCGUGCUGGACUUCUCGAACAUUUACCGGAAGAAAUCCCAUAUAGAGUUAUUCCUCGAAUCACUGAAUGGGGUGAAAUUGAUGAUGGGCGCUUGUAUGUUGAAAUUGAGGUUUUAUGUGGAAAAAAGAGUCAUUAUAAUAUGGUUAAUCGCAUUUCACGUAAAAUAGCAAACGAUACUCAAGAACAGUUGCAGGAUGUAUUUUUUAUGGAAGUUUUUGUACAAAUAUUACCUGUUUCAUUUAAAAAUAUGGGAGUGUAAUUGACAUAUUUGAAACGUUUUUGUAUUUACAGUCAAAAUUUGAUUGAUUAUUUUGAUCUGAAAGCAACGUCGCUGUAUUAUGCAGUGCCUCAAGUUUCAGAGAUUAAUACUAAAAUUCGGUGCUGUUUCAUGUCGUAGUUUUGCUUCAUCCACUGCGGAACCUCUUACAAUUGUUAAAGAAGAAGAUGGAAUACGAAGAAUCACUCUCAAUAAUCCUCGUAAAAG